CCUACGGGCGGCAGCAGUGAGGAAUAUUGGUCAAUGGGCGCGAGCCUGAACCAGCCAAGUAGCGUGAAGGAUGACUGCCCUACGGGUUGUAAACUUCUUUUAUAAAGGAAUAAAGUGAGGCACGUGUGCCUUUUUGUAUGUACUUUAUGAAUAAGGAUCGUCUAACUCCGUGCCAGCAGCCGCGGUAAUACGGAGGAUCCGAGCGUUAUCCGGAUUGAUUGGGGUUAAAGGGAGCGUAGAUGGGGUGUUAAGUCAGUUGUUAAAGUUUGCGGCUCAACCGUAAAAUUGCAAUUGAUACUGGCAGUCGUGAGUACAGUUGAGGUAGGCGGAAUUCGUGGUGUAGCGGUGAAAUGCUUAGAUAUCACGAAGAACUCCGAUGGCGAAGGCAGCUUACUAAACUGCCACUGACAUUGAUGCUCGAAAGUGUGGGUAUCAAACAGGAUUAGAUACCCCAGUAGUC
This 460-nucleotide ribosomal RNA is filed under the name uncultured bacterium. RNAcentral's name for it is "partial 16S ribosomal RNA". It matches the Rfam family "Bacterial small subunit ribosomal RNA", at positions 338 to 795 of the family's 1533-position model. The record is from RNAcentral.